GACGAACGCUGGCGGCGUGCUUAACACAUGCAAGUCGAACGGUAAGGCCCUUCGGGGUACACGAGUGGCGAACGGGUGAGUAACACGUGGGUGAUCUGCCCUGCACUUCGGGAUAAGCCUGGGAAACUGGGUCUAAUACCGGAUAGGACUCCUGGCUUCAGGGUUGGGGGUGGAAAGCUUUUGCGGUGUGGGAUGGGCCCGCGGCCUAUCAGCUUGUUGGUGGGGUAAUGGCCUACCAAGGCGACGACGGGUAGCCGGCCUGAGAGGGUGACCGGGCACACUGGGACUGAGACACGGGCCAGCCUCCUACGGGAGGCAGCAGUGGGGAAUAUUGCACAAUGGGCGCAAGCCUGAUGCAGCAACGCCGCGUGAGGGAUGACGGCCUUCGGGUUGUAAACCUCUUUUAGUAGGGAGGAAGCGAAAGUGACGGUACCUGCAGAAAAAGCACCGGCUAACUACGUGCCAGCAGCCGCCGUAA
Molecule: ribosomal RNA, 478 nt
Filed under: uncultured bacterium
Lineage: Bacteria
Description: partial 16S ribosomal RNA
Rfam family: Bacterial small subunit ribosomal RNA
Source: RNAcentral